RNAcentral lists this ribosomal RNA (222 nucleotides) under Salmonella enterica. RNAcentral describes it as "partial 16S ribosomal RNA". It matches the Rfam family "Bacterial small subunit ribosomal RNA", at positions 1 to 225 of the family's 1533-position model. The record is from RNAcentral. Lineage: Bacteria; Pseudomonadati; Pseudomonadota; Gammaproteobacteria; Enterobacterales; Enterobacteriaceae. RNAcentral also lists the same sequence under 4 other names.
AAGAGUUUGAUCAUGGCUCAGAUUGAACGCUGGCGGCAGGCCUAACACAUGCAAGUCGAACGGUAACAGGAAGCAGCUUGCUGCUUCGCUGACGAGUGGCGGACGGGUGAGUAAUGUCUGGGAAACUGCCUGAUGGAGGGGGAUAACUACUGGAAACGGUGGCUAAUACCGCAUAACGUCGCAAGACCAAAGAGGGGGACCUUCGGGCCUCUUGCCAUCAGA